RNAcentral lists this small nuclear RNA (188 nucleotides) under Castor canadensis (American beaver). RNAcentral's name for it is "U2 spliceosomal RNA (ENSCCNG00000021086.1)". It matches the Rfam family "U2 spliceosomal RNA". From Rfam's summary of the family: U2 is a small nuclear RNA (snRNA) component of the spliceosome (involved in pre-mRNA splicing). Complementary binding between U2 snRNA (in an area lying towards the 5' end but 3' to hairpin I) and the branchpoint sequence (BPS) of the intron results the bulging out of an unpaired adenosine, on the BPS, which initiates a nucleophilic attack at the intronic 5' splice site, thus starting the first of two transesterification reactions that mediate splicing. The record is from Rfam by way of RNAcentral. Lineage: Eukaryota; Metazoa; Chordata; Mammalia; Rodentia; Castoridae.
AGCACUUCUUGCCUUUUUGGCUAAGAUCAAGUAUAGUAUCUGUUCUUAUCAGAUUACUGUCAAAUACACCCUCCGAGGACAAGGCAUUAAAUGGAUUUUUGGAGCAGGGAGAUGGAAUAGCAGCUUGAUCCAUCCAUUCCUUCCACUGAUCUGGUAUUGCAGUACCUCCAGAAAAAGGUGCAACUCCU